GCAGAGAUGGCUUGGUGCUCGAAAGAGAACCGUAACACAGGGUGCUGCAUGGCUGCUCGCUCAAAUCGUGUCGUGAGAUGUUGGGUUAAGUCCCGCAACGAGCGCAACCCUUGUCAUUAGUUGCUACAUUUGGUUGGGCACUCUAAUGAGACUGCCGGUGACAAACCGGAGGAAGGUGGGGAUGACGUCAAGUCCUCAUGGCCCUUAUAGGUAGGGCUACACACGUCAUACAAUGGAUGGUACAGAGGGUCGCCAACCCGCGAGGGGGAGCUAAUCCCAUAAAACCAUUCGUAGUCCGGAUCGCAGUCUGCAACUCGACUGCGUGAAGUCGGAAUCGCUAGUAAUCGCGGAUCAGAAUGUCGCGGUGAAUACGUUCCCGGGUCUUGUACACACCGCCCGUCACGCCAUGGGAGCGGGUUCUGCCAGAAGUAGUUAG
RNAcentral lists this ribosomal RNA (436 nucleotides) under uncultured bacterium. Its description in RNAcentral is "bacterial SSU rRNA". It matches the Rfam family "Bacterial small subunit ribosomal RNA", at positions 1000 to 1433 of the family's 1533-position model. The record is from RNAcentral.